This 24-nucleotide non-coding RNA is filed under the name Arabidopsis thaliana (thale cress). Lineage: Eukaryota; Viridiplantae; Streptophyta; Magnoliopsida; Brassicales; Brassicaceae. The record is from RNAcentral.
ACGCAUUUGUGUUGUUGUGCAACA